This 1459-nucleotide ribosomal RNA is filed under the name uncultured Bordetella sp. RNAcentral describes it as "partial 16S-23S ribosomal RNA intergenic spacer". It matches the Rfam family "Bacterial small subunit ribosomal RNA". Lineage: Bacteria; Pseudomonadati; Pseudomonadota; Betaproteobacteria; Burkholderiales; Alcaligenaceae. The record is from RNAcentral.
GUUCGAUCUCCCAGCUCAGAUUGAAUCGUUGGCGGGAUGCUUACACAUGCAAGUCGUGAACGGCAGCACGGACUUCGGUCUGGUGGCGAGUGGCGAACGGGUGAGUAAUGUAUCGGAACGUGCCUAGUAGCGGGGGAUAACUACGCGAAAGCGUAGCUAAUACCGCAUACGCCCUUCGGGGGAAAGCGGGGGACCUUCGGGUCGUAAUUAUUAGAGCGGCUGAGAUAUCGGAUUAGCUUAGUUGGUGGGGCAACGGCUCGGGCGACGAUCCGUAGCUGGUUUGAGAGGACGACCAGCCACACUGGGACUGGACACGGCCCAGACUCCUACGGGAGGCAGCAGUGGGAAUUUUGGACAAUGGGGGAAACUCCUGAUCCAGCCAUCCCGCGUGUGCGAUGAAGGCCUUUGGGUUGUAAAGCACUUUUGGCAGGAAAGAAACGGCACGGAUAAUACUCCCGCAACGACGGUACCUGCAGAAUAAGCACCGCUAACUACGUGCCAGCAGCUGCGGUAAUUACGUAGGGUGCAAGCGUUAAUCGGAAUUACUGGGCGUAAAAGCGUGCUCAGGCGGUUCGGAAAGCAGAUGUGAACCAGAGCGAAUCUUGAACUGCAUUUUUAACUACCGAGCUAGAGUAAAAGUCAGAUAGAGAAAAUAACGUGCAGGAAUGCAGAUGCGAGAACACCGAUGGCGUAGCGCAGCCUCCUGGGAUAACACUGAUGCUCAUGUACGAAAGCGUGGGGAGCAAAACAGGAUUAGAUACCCUGGUAGUCCACGCCCUGGGAACGAUGUCAACUAGCUGUUGGGGCCUUCGGGCUCAGCGCAGCUAACGCGUGGAAGUUGACCGCCUGGGGAGUACGGUCGCAAGAUUAAACCCGCAGUAACGAUGGGGACCCGCACAAGCGGUGGAUGGGAUUACCCGAUGCAACGCGAAACCCUACCUACCUUUGACAUGUCUGGAACCUGGUAGAUUGGGAGCUUCGCAGAGAACCGGAACACAGGUGCUGUAUGGCUGUCGUCAGCUCGUAAGCCGAGAUAUGGGUUAACCCGCAACGAGCGCAACCUUUGUUAAGAAGUUGCUACGAAAGGACACUCUGACGAGACUGCCGGUGACAAACCGGAGGAAGGUGGGGAUGACGUCAAGUCCGCGGCUUUAAGGGGUAGGGCUUCACACGUCAUACAUGGUUUGGAUGAGGGUCGCUAACCCGCGAGGGAGCCAAUCCCAGAAACCCGAUCGUGGUGUCCGAUCGCAGUCUGCAACUCGACUGCGUGAAGUCGGAAUCGCUAGUAAUCGCGGAUCAGCAUGUCGCGGUGAAUACGUUCCUGGCCUUACACACUGCCCGUCACACCAUGGGAGUGGGUUUUACCAGAAGCAGUUAGCUCAAUCGUAUGAGGCGAUUACCACGGUAGGAUUCAUGACUGGGGUGUCGUGAACAAAGGCACCUACAUUACCGAUGCUCC